UUAUAAAAAAAAUCUUUCACACAUAAAUCGGUCACUGACUCUGCAAAAAUAAAUUCUUCCAUAGCAUUAUAAAAACUAAGAUGUAUAACCAAUGCUGCUUUUCUAUAUUUACAAAUAUAAAUUUUUUGAUUCCUUCAAUCUGUCAGCAAAAUAACUUAGUGACUCUAAAUGGGUGUCUGCUUUCUGAUAUUCCAUGAUAACUUUCUGAAAUGGAUUAAUUGUUCUGGAGGAUCUAAAACUUUCCUGUCUUUUUUUCUUUCCUUUUUUUUUUCUUUAAAGAACUCUUAUCCCCUGUAGCUAGGGAAAGCAUCCAAAUUCUUGUUGGCUAGAUCUCUUACUGGUUCUUCCUUUUCUUGACACCAGUCUUGAAGAUUUAUACUGUCAAUAAAAUGUUAUGUUGCAAGUAGUCUGAGCAGCCUCUGAUGCUUUUCAAUAGAAUUGGUCAGCUUUGAGUGAAACAGAACAUGAGAUACCAACAGGCUUAAAUUAAGCUUUCUAAAAGGUGCUCUAUUUUGUUUGGCAUUGCUUAUGCACUCAUCUGCUAGCAUUAGGCACAGUAAACUAAGGAGUCCUGCAAAGAUGGCUGGAAUAUUAGGUUGGUACAUGAUAUGCAGGGUGCAUUGCCACAUGAAGAUCUGUUCAGAACUAUGCAUGGAAUAAUCAAAUUUGUUCCAGACAUAAGGAAAGCAGAAAACUGGUUAUGUUUAAUGUUUCAGUUUGCAUUCAGGUGAGUUUUUCAGACUACGCAUAAAUAUUUUUUUCCUGUCACUUCUGGAAGAUGGGAGAAUAGUUAGUCCCUUCUAUCCUUACUUCUUGUAAACAGAGGAUUAUAAAGUAUGCACACUUCAUGAGAGAGCUCAUUUUCAGGAUUCAGAUAAUCUCAGAGGAUUGUUCAGUGCAUAAAAGUUGUUACAAGCUCUCUAAAUUGUGAUAGAGCUGGAAGAAAUAGGCACACAUUGCAGUUAGUGGGAGCUGAGCCUUUUUUCCCACAACCAAAAGCUUCCAAUUUUCUCAAGCCAGCAAUAGCAGUUGCCAAUACACAAAACUGUGUUUUGAAAAUACAUUUCUUCUGCAACAAAGAACUCUCAUUAGUCCUUGCAACCUGGCCACCAGAACUGAUGUUCCUGGUCCCUGCUGAUGCUAUUGUGAUCCUUGCAAGAAGACUGAUGUCACCACCAGCCGCUGGGACUCCAGGGUGUGUGAACCUGAGGGUGAGGGAGCCUUUGCAUGCCAGGUGUGCCUUGAUGUCCCUGGAUCUGUGGUGCUUUCCUUUUUUCAGUAGCACUGAACUGCCAAACAACAAACUCUUCUAA
This 1313-nucleotide long non-coding RNA is filed under the name Anser brachyrhynchus (Pink-footed goose). RNAcentral's name for it is "lncRNA (ENSABRG00000012386.1)". The record is from RNAcentral. Lineage: Eukaryota; Metazoa; Chordata; Aves; Anseriformes; Anatidae.